GACGAACGCUGGCGGCGUGCUUAACACAUGCAAGUCGAACGUGAUUUUUGUGGAAAUUCUUUCGGGAAUGGAAAUGAAAUGAAAGUGGCGAACGGGUGAGUAACACGUGAGCAACCUACCUUACACAGGGGGAUAGCCGUUGGAAACGACGAUUAAUACCGCAUGAGACCACAGAAUCGCAUGAUAUAGGGGUCAAAGAUUUAUCGGUGUAAGAAGGGCUCGCGUCUGAUUAGCUAGUUGGAAGGGUAAAGGCCUACCAAGGCGACGAUGAGUAGCCGGUCUGAGAGGAGGAACGGCCACAUUGGAACUGAUACACGGUCCAAACUCCUACGGGAGGCAGCAGUGGGGAAUAUUGCACAAUGGGGGGAACCCUGAUGCAUCGACGCCGCGUGAGCGAAGAAGGUUUUCGAAUCGUAAAUCUCUGUCCGAUGAGAAGAUAAUGUCUGUUGCAUUGGAGGAAGCCCCGGGUAAAUACGUGCCAGCUGCCGCGUUAAUACGGAUGGGUCGAGCGUUGUCCGGAAUUAUUGGCUUAGAGGGGACGUAUGCGGGUUGUUAAUUCUGGUGGGAACUGGUGAUGCUUAACCUCUUUUUGCUUGGUGACUGGAAGACUGGAGCGAAGGAAGGAAGUGUGAAUUCCUAGUGGUGCUGUUAAAUGCGUGAUUUAGAGGAUUGCGGUGGCUGAGGUGAUUGUCUGUCUUGUGCUUGUGCGCAUGCCUGUAGCGUGUGGGUGGUCUGGAAUAUGAUGCCGAUGGUACAGGGGCUAAUGCCUUUGCUUAUCAUGUUGUGUGAUGGCUUGACUGUGAUGUUUAAAAAAUAUGCUGUUUUUUAGUGUAUGUGUGUUGUAUAUAGAUGAAUGUGUGUGUCUCUCCUG
RNAcentral lists this ribosomal RNA (871 nucleotides) under uncultured Actinomycetaceae bacterium. RNAcentral describes it as "bacterial SSU rRNA". The stretch from base 1 to 771 matches the Rfam family "Bacterial small subunit ribosomal RNA". The record is from RNAcentral. Lineage: Bacteria; Bacillati; Actinomycetota; Actinomycetes; Actinomycetales; Actinomycetaceae.